This 1831-nucleotide ribosomal RNA is filed under the name Escherichia coli. RNAcentral's name for it is "partial 23S ribosomal RNA". It matches the Rfam family "Bacterial large subunit ribosomal RNA", at positions 1033 to 2843 of the family's 2925-position model. Lineage: Bacteria; Pseudomonadati; Pseudomonadota; Gammaproteobacteria; Enterobacterales; Enterobacteriaceae. The record is from RNAcentral.
CGCCAGCUAAGGUCCCAAAGUCAUGGUUAAGUGGGAAACGAUGUGGGAAGGCCCAGACAGCCAGGAUGUUGGCUUAGAAGCAGCCAUCAUUUAAAGAAAGCGUAAUAGCUCACUGGUCGAGUCGGCCUGCGCGGAAGAUGUAACGGGGCUAAACCAUGCACCGAAGCUGCGGCAGCGACGCUGAUGCGUUGUUGGGUAGGGGAGCGUUCUGUAAGCCUGUGAAGGUGUGCUGUGAGGCAUGCUGGAGGUAUCAGAAGUGCGAAUGCUGACAUAAGUAACGAUAAAGCGGGUGAAAAGCCCGCUCGCCGGAAGACCAAGGGUUCCUGUCCAACGUUAAUCGGGGCAGGGUGAGUCGACCCCUAAGGCGAGGCCGAAAGGCGUAGUCGAUGGGAAACAGGUUAAUAUUCCUGUACUUGGUGUUACUGCGAAGGGGGGACGGAGAAGGCUAUGUUGGCCGGGCGACGGUUGUCCCGGUUUAAGCGUGUAGGCUGGUUUUCCAGGCAAAUCCGGAAAACUAAGGCUGAGGCGUGAUGACGAGGCACUACGGUGCUGAAGCAACAAAUGCCCUGCUUCCAGGAAAAGCCUCUAAGCAUCAGGUAACAUCAAAUCGUACCCCAAACCGACACAGGUGGUCAGGUAGAGAAUACCAAGGCGCUUGAGAGAACUCGGGUGAAGGAACUAGGCAAAAUGGUGCCGUAACUUCGGGAGAAGGCACGCUGAUAUGUAGGUGAAGUCCCUCGCGGAUGGAGCUGAAAUCAGUCGAAGAUACCAGCUGGCUGCAACUGUUUAUUAAAAACACAGCACUGUGCAAACACGAAAGUGGACGUAUACGGUGUGACGCCUGCCCGGUGCCGGAAGGUUAAUUGAUGGGGUCAGCGCAAGCGAAGCUCUUGAUCGAAGCCCCGGUAAACGGCGGCCGUAACUAUAACGGUCCUAAGGUAGCGAAAUUCCUUGUCGGGUAAGUUCCGACCUGCACGAAUGGCGUAAUGAUGGCCAGGCUGUCUCCACCCGAGACUCAGUGAAAUUGAACUCGCUGUGAAGAUGCAGUGUACCCGCGGCAAGACGGAAAGACCCCGUGAACCUUUACUAUAGCUUGACACUGAACAUUGAGCCUUGAUGUGUAGGAUAGGUGGGAGGCUUUGAAGUGUGGACGCCAGUCUGCAUGGAGCCGACCUUGAAAUACCACCCUUUAAUGUUUGAUGUUCUAACGUUGACCCGUAAUCCGGGUUGCGGACAGUGUCUGGUGGGUAGUUUGACUGGGGCGGUCUCCUCCUAAAGAGUAACGGAGGAGCACGAAGGUUGGCUAAUCCUGGUCGGACAUCAGGAGGUUAGUGCAAUGGCAUAAGCCAGCUUGACUGCGAGCGUGACGGCGCGAGCAGGUGCGAAAGCAGGUCAUAGUGAUCCGGUGGUUCUGAAUGGAAGGGCCAUCGCUCAACGGAUAAAAGGUACUCCGGGGAUAACAGGCUGAUACCGCCCAAGAGUUCAUAUCGACGGCGGUGUUUGGCACCUCGAUGUCGGCUCAUCACAUCCUGGGGCUGAAGUAGGUCCCAAGGGUAUGGCUGUUCGCCAUUUAAAGUGGUACGCGAGCUGGGUUUAGAACGUCGUGAGACAGUUCGGUCCCUAUCUGCCGUGGGCGCUGGAGAACUGAGGGGGGCUGCUCCUAGUACGAGAGGACCGGAGUGGACGCAUCACUGGUGUUCGGGUUGUCAUGCCAAUGGCACUGCCCGGUAGCUAAAUGCGGAAGAGAUAAGUGCUGAAAGCAUCUAAGCACGAAACUUGCCCCGAGAUGAGUUCUCCCUGACUCCUUGAGAGUCCUGAAGGAACGUUGAAG